Long non-coding RNA from Phyllostomus discolor (pale spear-nosed bat), 183 nucleotides. RefSeq lists it as uncharacterized. The transcript is spliced from 3 exons. NCBI's taxonomy places the organism in Eukaryota, Metazoa, Chordata, Mammalia, Chiroptera, Phyllostomidae. The record is from RefSeq and is a predicted model, not a curated record.
ACAUCUGUGUUGAUUCUAAGUUUUGGGCAUUGUGAAUAAAGCUGCUAUAAACAUCUUUGUGCAGCUUUUAGUAUAGACAUAAGUUUUCAAGUCUUUUAAGUAAAUACUAAGGAGCAUGAUUGCAGGCUCAUAUGGUAAGAGUAUGUUUAGUUUUAUAAGAAACUGCCAAACUGCCUUCCAAAG